UGGGGAAUAUUGGACAAUGGGCGAAAGCCUGAUCCAGCCAUGCCGCGUGUGUGAAGAAGGUCUUCGGAUUGUAAAGCACUUUAAGUUGGGAGGAAGGGCAGUAAGCGAAUACCUUGCUGUUUUGACGUUACCGACAGAAUAAGCACCGGCUAACUCUGUGCCAGCAGCCGCGGUAAUACAGAGGGUGCAAGCGUUAAUCGGAAUUACUGGGCGUAAAGCGCGCGUAGGUGGUUCGUUAAGUUGAAUGUGAAAGCCCCGGGCUCAACCUGGGAACUGCAUCCAAAACUGGCGAGCUAGAGUAGGGCAGAGGGUGGUGGAAUUUCCUGUGUAGCGGUGAAAUGCGUAGAUAUAGGAAGGAACACCAGUGGCGAAGGCGACCACCUGGGCUAAUGCUGACACUGAGGUGCGAAAGCGUGGGGAGCAAACAGG
This 429-nucleotide ribosomal RNA is filed under the name Pseudomonadota bacterium. RNAcentral describes it as "Proteobacteria bacterium partial 16S ribosomal RNA". It matches the Rfam family "Bacterial small subunit ribosomal RNA", at positions 355 to 776 of the family's 1533-position model. The record is from RNAcentral. Lineage: Bacteria; Pseudomonadati; Pseudomonadota.